RNAcentral lists this ribosomal RNA (754 nucleotides) under Streptococcus sanguinis. RNAcentral's name for it is "bacterial SSU rRNA". It matches the Rfam family "Bacterial small subunit ribosomal RNA", at positions 224 to 968 of the family's 1533-position model. Lineage: Bacteria; Bacillati; Bacillota; Bacilli; Lactobacillales; Streptococcaceae. The record is from RNAcentral.
GAUGGACCUGCGUUGUAUUAGCUAGUUGGUGAGGUAACGGCUCACCAAGGCGACGAUACAUAGCCGACCUGAGAGGGUGAUCGGCCACACUGGGACUGAGACACGGCCCAGACUCCUACGGGAGGCAGCAGUAGGGAAUCUUCGGCAAUGGGGGGAACCCUGACCGAGCAACGCCGCGUGAGUGAAGAAGGUUUUCGGAUCGUAAAGCUCUGUUGUAAGAGAAGAACGGGUGUGAGAGUGGAAAGUUCACACUGUGACGGUAUCUUACCAGAAAGGGACGGCUAACUACGUGCCAGCAGCCGCGGUAAUACGUAGGUCCCGAGCGUUGUCCGGAUUUAUUGGGCGUAAAGCGAGCGCAGGCGGUUAGAUAAGUCUGAAGUUAAAGGCUGUGGCUUAACCAUAGUAUGCUUUGGAAACUGUUUAACUUGAGUGCAGAAGGGGAGAGUGGAAUUCCAUGUGUAGCGGUGAAAUGCGUAGAUAUAUGGAGGAACACCGGUGGCGAAAGCGGCUCUCUGGUCUGUAACUGACGCUGAGGCUCGAAAGCGUGGGGAGCAAACAGGAUUAGAUACCCUGGUAGUCCACGCCGUAAACGAUGAGUGCUAGGUGUUAGGCCCUUUCCGGGGCUUAGUGCCGCAGCUAACGCAUUAAGCACUCCGCCUGGGGAGUACGACCGCAAGGUUGAAACUCAAAGGAAUUGACGGGGGCCCGCACAAGCGGUGGAGCAUGUGGAUUUAAUUCGAAGCAACGCGAAGAA